GACGAACGCUGGCGGCGUGCUUAACACAUGCAAGUCGAAUGGAAAGGCCCUGCUUUUGUGGGGUGCUCGAGUGGCGAACGGGUGAGUAACACGUGAGUAACCUGCCCUUGACUUUGGGAUAACUUCAGGAAACUGGGGCUAAUACCGGAUAGGAGCUCCUGCUGCAUGGUGGGGGUUGGAAAGUUUCGGCGGUUGGGGAUGGACUCGCGGCUUAUCAGCUUGUUGGUGGGGUAGUGGCUUACCAAGGCUUUGACGGGUAGCCGGCCUGAGAGGGUGACCGGCCACAUUGGGACUGAGAUACGGCCCAGACUCCUACGGGAGGCAGCAGUGGGGAAUAUUGCACAAUGGGCGGAAGCCUGAUGCAGCAACGCCGCGUGCGGGAUGACGGCCUUCGGGUUGUAAACCGCCUUCGCCUGUGACGAAGCGUGAGUGACGGUAAUGGGUAAAGAAGCACCGGCUAACUACGUG
Molecule: ribosomal RNA, 468 nt
Filed under: uncultured bacterium
Lineage: Bacteria
Description: partial 16S ribosomal RNA
Rfam family: Bacterial small subunit ribosomal RNA
Source: RNAcentral